This 829-nucleotide ribosomal RNA is filed under the name uncultured bacterium. RNAcentral describes it as "bacterial SSU rRNA". It matches the Rfam family "Bacterial small subunit ribosomal RNA", at positions 71 to 872 of the family's 1533-position model. The record is from RNAcentral.
UCGGAGUGCUUGCACUCUGUGAAACAAGAUACAGGCUAGCGGCGGACGGGUGUGUAACACGUGGGUAACCUGCCCAAGAGAUCGGGAUAACACCUGGAAACAGAUGCUAAUACCGGAUAACAACAGAUGAUGCCUAUCAACUGUUUAAAAGAUGGUUCUGCUAUCACUCUUGGAUGGACCUGCGGUGCAUUAGCUAGUUGGUAGGGUAACGGCCUACCAAGGCGAUGAUGCAUAGCCGAGUUGAGAGACUGAUCGGCCACAUUGGGACUGAGACACGGCCCAAACUCCUACGGGAGGCAGCAGUAGGGAAUCUUCCACAAUGGACGCAAGUCUGAUGGAGCAACGCCGCGUGAGUGAAGGAGGGUUUCGGCUCGUAAAGCUCUGUUGUUGGUGAAGAAGGACAGGGGUAGUAACUGACCUUUGUUUGACGGUAAUCAAUUAGAAAGUCACGGCUAACUACGUGCCAGCAGCCGCGGUAAUACGUAGGUGGCAAGCGUUGUCCGGAUUUAUUGGGCGUAAAGCGAGUGCAGGCGGCUCGAUAAGUCUGAUGUGAAAGCCUUCGGCUCAACCGGAGAAUUGCAUCAGAAACUGUCGAGCUUGAGUACAGAAGAGGAGAGUGGAACUCCAUGUGUAGCGGUGAAAUGCGUAGAUAUAUGGAAGAACACCGGUGGCGAAGGCGGCUCUCUGGUCUGUUACUGACGCUGAGGCUCGAAAGCAUGGGUAGCGAACAGGAUUAGAUACCCUGGUAGUCCAUGCCGUANACGAUGAGUGCUAAGUGUUGGGAGGUUUCCGCCUCUCAGUGCUGCAGCUAACGCAUUAAGCACUCCGC